AGGGCCAUAUCAUGUUGUAACACCAGUUCCAGGACGAUCACCGAAGUUAAGCAAUGUUGAGCCUGGUGACUACCUAGAUGGGUGACCGCUUGGUAAUACCAGGUGCUGUAA
Acanthosepion pharaonis is the source of this 111-nucleotide non-coding RNA. The record is from the annotation of a GenBank genome assembly. Lineage: Eukaryota; Metazoa; Mollusca; Cephalopoda; Sepiida; Sepiidae.